AUUCACAAUUACUUCAAGCGUUACUAAUAUUCAUUCAGUAAUUAGAAGAAACGAUUUUUAUUGGAGGCAUUUUCACAAAUGGUUCGAAGGUUCAGACCUGCAAUAAGUUUAAUUAAUUCAAGCAACCAUGUACGCCCAAUGUUUCCUAUUGUCUAAUUGGAAAUUAAAGUGAGUGUUUUUUAACGGAAUUUCAAGUCGUGCUUUACUAACAAAAUUCCUUAUAUGAGGAACGAGGAAUUUACUAUAUAAGCAUUUUUAAAUUGUUCGCAGAUUCGGUUCUAAAAAAAAAAGAGGCCAUUUCUUCUUAGCUAUUGCUUUUCUAGUAUUAACCCAAUUACUGUAGUUUCGAAAACGAGCAAAAAGGUCUAUAAAACAAGUGUAGGGAGUCGAUCUCAGACUGCAAAUCGCUAAAUUUCAAAAUUUGAUAAGGGUAGAGUCUUGUGAGAAGGAAAAUAGAAUUGUCGAAUAUUUCAAUAGCAUCCUUAAACCAAAGUUAAAAAAAAGUAUAUAUAUCAAACUAAAAGCGUACCUGCUAAUUGCUUGAAGCAUUCGAUGUUCAACUCAUAAGCUUUAUGGACACACUCUACGAUGGUUAAGCAUGUGAUCUUCAUACGACGCUUUGCUUCCCGCAAAAUCAAUAUAACUAUUAAAAGAUGUAUAGAGUGAUGGGUGUAGUACUCUAAACAUACUGGAAUAGAUUAUAUGUGAACUAAGGAACAUUCGAAUAGAUCAUCUUCAUAGCAAAAUAUUCAUUUGGCAGUUAAUUAAAAUGUUUAUGAAAUUACAAGAUGAUCAAUAGUAAUUAUGCUCAAGAAUAGGCUCAAAGAUGAAGAGGUGCAUAAUAUAGUGUAAAGCACUAUGACUCUUGUGUUCGAAUUUCAUUAACAAUACUACCCUAUGUACGUUACGUUGUCACCGAUAGAUGUAAUGUUUGCAAAUCCGUUGUAUUCAAGUCACCAAGGCAAACUAUUUACUACAUGUGUCAAAACAAACAAUAUAAAAAUAUUAUAAAUAGAGCUCCUACUGAACUGAGGAACGAAGUUCAGUCAUAUGCUAUAUUAGGGAUAGGUAUGUUAUACUCAGUUGCUACUCAUACUACCUGCGUAUCGCAAUAUAAUAGAUCACAAGGAAACCCAACACAGUUCUAUGUAUUGUUAAAACAAAUA
Non-coding RNA from Schizosaccharomyces pombe (fission yeast), 1166 nucleotides. The record is from the annotation of a GenBank genome assembly. Lineage: Eukaryota; Fungi; Ascomycota; Schizosaccharomycetes; Schizosaccharomycetales; Schizosaccharomycetaceae.